RNAcentral lists this ribosomal RNA (332 nucleotides) under uncultured Anoxybacillus sp. RNAcentral describes it as "bacterial SSU rRNA". It matches the Rfam family "Bacterial small subunit ribosomal RNA", at positions 1049 to 1382 of the family's 1533-position model. Lineage: Bacteria; Bacillati; Bacillota; Bacilli; Caryophanales; Anoxybacillaceae. The record is from RNAcentral.
UUGUCGUCAGCUCGUGUCGUGAGAUGUUGGGUUAAGUCCCGCAACGAGCGCAACCCUCGACCUUAGUUGCCAGCAUUCAGUUGGGCACUCUAAGGUGACUGCCGGCUAAAAGUCGGAGGAAGGUGGGGAUGACGUCAAAUCAUCAUGCCCCUUAUGACCUGGGCUACACACGUGCUACAGUGGGCGGUACAAAGGGUCGCGAACCCGCGAGGGGGAGCCAAUCCCAAAAAGCCGCUCUCAGUUCGGAUUGCAGGCUGCAACUCGCCUGCAUGAAGCCGGAAUCGCUAGUAAUCGCGGAUCAGCAUGCCGCGGUGAAUACGUUCCCGGGCCUU